GUCCUUUUGGUGUAGUUAAGCAUACUUGCCUUCCAAGUAAGAGGUCUUUAAGUAAAGAUGGGAUG
RNAcentral lists this transfer RNA (65 nucleotides) under Tridacna crocea. RNAcentral describes it as "tRNA-Gly". Lineage: Eukaryota; Metazoa; Mollusca; Bivalvia; Cardiida; Cardiidae. The record is from RNAcentral.